RNAcentral lists this ribosomal RNA (441 nucleotides) under uncultured bacterium. RNAcentral's name for it is "partial 16S ribosomal RNA". It matches the Rfam family "Bacterial small subunit ribosomal RNA", at positions 338 to 795 of the family's 1533-position model. The record is from RNAcentral.
CCUACGGGUGGCAGCAGUGGGGGAUAUUGCACAAUGGGGGAAACCCUGAUGCAGCGACGCCGCGUGGGUGAAGAAGUAUUUCGGUAUGUAAAGCCCUAUCAGCAGGGAAGAAAGAAGACGGUACCUGACUAAGAAGCCCCGGUUAACUACGUGCCAGCAGCCGCGGUAAUACGUAGGGGGCGAGCGUUAUCCGGAUUCACUGGGUGUAAAGGGAGCGUAGACGGCCGUGCAAGCCAGGAGUGAAAGCCCGGGGCCCAACCCCGGGACUGCUCUUGGAACUGUGCGGCUGGAGUGCGGGAGGGGCAGGCGGAAUUCCUGGUGUAGCGGUGAAAUGCGUAGAUAUCAGGAGGAACACCGGCGGCGAAGGCGGCCUGCUGGACCGCGACUGACGUUGAGGCUCGAAAGCGUGGGGAGCGAACAGGAUUAGAUACCCUGGUAGUC